RNAcentral lists this ribosomal RNA (547 nucleotides) under uncultured bacterium. RNAcentral describes it as "bacterial SSU rRNA". It matches the Rfam family "Bacterial small subunit ribosomal RNA", at positions 777 to 1322 of the family's 1533-position model. The record is from RNAcentral.
AAUAGAUACCCGGGUAGUCCACUCCGUAAACGUUGGGAACUAGUUGUGGGGGCCUUUCUACGGUCUCCGUGACGCAGCUAACGCAUUAAGUUCCCCGCCUGGGGAGUACGGCCGCAAGGCUAAAACUCAAAGGAAUUGACGGGGACCCGCACAAGCGGCGGAGCAUGCGGAUUAAUUCGAUGCAACGCGAAGAACCUUACCAAGGCUUGACAUAUACCGGAAACGGCUGGAAACAGUCGCCCCCUUGUGGUCGGUAUACAGGUGGUGCAUGGUUGUCGUCAGCUCGUGUCGUGAGAUGUUGGGUUAAGUCCCGCAACGAGCGCAACCCUCGUUCUAUGUUGCCAGCACGUUAUGGUGGGAACUCAUGGAAUACUGCCGGGGUCAACUCGGAGGAAGGUGGGGAUGACGUCAAAUCAUCAUGCCCCUUAUGUCUUGGGGCUUCACGCAUGCUACAAUGGCCGAUACAAUGGGCUGCGAUACCGCGAGGUGGAGCGAAUCCCAAAAAGUCGGUCUCAGUUCGGAUUGGGGUCUGCAACUCGACCCCAUG